GAUAACACACUAUACAACUACCCAUCUAAUCUCCAUUACUCAUGGUUGGUAUGCUCCCUUGUGGGGGAAAUAAUAUUUUCCUUUAAUUUGCAACUUUUAAAUAUUACAGUACAUUUUUUCCAUCUAAUCUCCAUUACUCAUGGUUGGUAUGCUCCCUUAUGGAGCAAAAAAUAUUUUCCUAUAAAUUUGCAACUUUUAAAUAUAACAGUACAUUUUUUCCCAAAUUCCAUUAAGUGCAAGCUAAAAUCAAACUAAGACCCACUUCCAUCAUGUAGAAUAAAUAUUGCUAUUCACUUAUACAAGCCUUGUUUUUUUUCUCACAUGGCAAAAGCAUAGUUCAUCCAUGUUUAAUUGGAAAUCUAAAGCCUCAAAAUACAUAGGACAGGCAGCCAAGAUCCUUGAGAACACCCAAACCCAUCUUUGUACGUGAUCACAUCCCCAAUGCUCUCACAAGACAAUUCCACACUUCUCAAUUUCUUAGGGCAUGAUCCCAAUGCUCUCACAACACAAUUCCAUACCACUUCUCAAUUUCUUAGGGCAUGUCCUUAGAUAGCAAUCUCUCUUUGAAAACCAUACACCAAACCAGAUCUCAAAUAAUAGCUAAAACCUCAAGACCUUUUCUAAACCGCUUUUGCAGCUUCUCAUCUAAAAUAAGACUACCAACCCAAUCUCCCUCUAAACCACCCAAUCAAUAUUCUUUUGCUCACCCGGGGAAAAAAUAUUGUUUUCUCAAAAAAUAACCAGAUCCCCAAUCACUCUCUAGACAUCUAAAUAAGGGGGGUGUCUUGGCUUUG
This 794-nucleotide long non-coding RNA is filed under the name Amborella trichopoda. Its description in RNAcentral is "long non-coding RNA (ATRI_LNC003403)". Lineage: Eukaryota; Viridiplantae; Streptophyta; Magnoliopsida; Amborellales; Amborellaceae. The record is from RNAcentral.